This 72-nucleotide transfer RNA is filed under the name Fukomys damarensis (Damara mole-rat). It matches the Rfam family "tRNA". From Rfam's summary of the family: Transfer RNA (tRNA) molecules are approximately 80 nucleotides in length. Lineage: Eukaryota; Metazoa; Chordata; Mammalia; Rodentia; Bathyergidae. The record is from Rfam by way of RNAcentral.
UUUACUGUAGCUCAGAGGUAGAGUACUUGCCUAACAUGCAUGAUGCCCUGGGUUCAAUCCCCAGCAGAGCAA